RNAcentral lists this long non-coding RNA (1178 nucleotides) under Danio rerio (zebrafish). RNAcentral describes it as "si:dkey-202l22.5 (ENSDARG00000102703.2)". The record is from RNAcentral. Lineage: Eukaryota; Metazoa; Chordata; Actinopteri; Cypriniformes; Danionidae.
AUUCUCACUCCCAACUCGUCAUAUACUGACGCUUGGUCAGGAACCCUCGGCGUAAGUUAUUGACGCACAGGGUACCCCUUUAGCGUCAUAUUUAGACGUGCAGGGAUUCCCUAUAGAAUCUGUGCCUGAGCCUGAGGCGUCAUAGGGAGACGCUGGAGGCUCGUAUAAUUACCAAUAGAUGUCAACGCAAUUUUUAAAACCUGAUUUACGCCUAUUAUCUUAGUUUUCUUUUUUUAAAAAUAUGUAAUUUUUAUUUUGUUCACGAAAAGCGUCUGUAAACUGGGUCGAAACUACUGUAUGAAUAAACUUCGGUCCACGUGACAUCCCUUCACGUCUAUGCUCGCUAUCCCAAGGUUCAUUGCGAUCCCAAGCUUCACUGCGGUUUUCCACAAGAUGCAGAAACUUUUGACAUAUGAAUUCAUCUUGACUAAGGAACUCUUCACAGCACUGCAUCUGAACAGUCACAACCUCACAGAGCUGCACAACUGCCCCACUCAAGAUCAGUGUUGAAGCUGAAACCUCAUCUUGUGUACAGCAAAGGCAGAGCUGAAAAUUCACUGUUUGUCUUGUAUUGUGUGUGGCAAAACCUGGAAUAACACAUGGGAGCCCUCCAGGAAUUCCUGACACUUUACACCCAAGUCUCCUCAUGCCAACCGGAUUGCAAUAUGACAGUCUAGUCAGCAUAAACACCUGGACUCACCAAGCACACUUUGGUUCUCAGUGUUUUGUAAAAAUUGUUUUUGCUAUUCUUCAGUAAAUACUUGAAUAUGUUUUGAACUUAUUCUACUUUUGAUGUUUAAGUUCAGAAAGUUGUUGUUAUUAUAAACAUAAUUUGCAUUUGUCAUGAACUUGACUUCUUGUUGUUGUGAAAGCUGUUUAUUAUAAUGGCAUUUCCAAAGGCAUCAUUUGAAAAGAUUUAUUGCAGUGCAGUUUUACUUGAGCUUGAGCAUACCAGAUGUAUGACAUGAAUAAAUAUCACAAAAUAAAUAUAAUAAUAAUAAUACAAAAUAUACAUUUCCUUCAAUUAUAAUUGUUUUUAAUCAUUUAUAUAUGUAUGGUAAUAUAUUAUUGCAUUAAAAACUGUUAUAAAAUAUAUUUUUUUGGUUUUUGCAUUUUUGCAUGAUUUUUAUUAUUUAUUUUAUUUGUGGCAUUAUAAAUAAAUUAUGUUUCAUUAAAAA